CCCAAACAGCCCCCGAAAACGCUACGUGAGCUGGGCCCUGGGCCAGAGGCAGAAAACGGACGGAAGAAAAGGUCUGGCCGGGCUCCUCUGCUAAUGCUUCUGGGAGACACCUUCAUACGGCCAGCGCCAGGAGGCGAGAGGAGAGGAAAGGAAGUCUUCUCUUCACGCCCUCCUGGGGCCCGUCUUGGCGUUGUGUGUGGUGGAGGGGGACGAAUCUGGGGUCCGCAGUCGCAGCCUCCUCUUGCUGCUGCCGCCUUCAUCCCCGAAAUCCUGCUCCUAACCAUCAAUAGGAACCCUGAAAAAAGUCAGAGGUGUGAAGUGCACACAUAACCCUGGGCCACAAACUCGGUCCCGGACGCCACAGGACAAUCGCUCACCAGGACCACACAUCCUGGCCGGAAGAUGGGCGGGUACCGCGGCUCCCGAUGCUUCCGGCUCCUCUAGGAAGA
Molecule: long non-coding RNA, 449 nt
Filed under: Homo sapiens (human)
Lineage: Eukaryota; Metazoa; Chordata; Mammalia; Primates; Hominidae
Description: non-protein coding ZSCAN16-AS1:6
Source: RNAcentral